UGGGGAAUAUUGGACAAUGGGCGCAAGCCUGAUCCAGCCAUACCGCGUGGGUGAAGAAGGCCUUCGGGUUGUAAAGCCCUUUUGUUGGGAAAGAAAAGCAGUCGGUUAAUACCCGAUUGUUCUGACGGUACCCAAAGAAUAAGCACCGGCUAACUUCGUGCCAGCAGCCGCGGUAAUACGAAGGGUGCAAGCGUUACUCGGAAUUACUGGGCGUAAAGCGUGCGUAGGUGGUUGUUUAAGUCUGUCGUGAAAGCCCUGGGCUCAACCUGGGAAUUGCGAUGGAAACUGGGCGACUAGAGUGUGGCAGAGGGUAGUGGAAUUCCUGGUGUAGCAGUGAAAUGCGUAGAGAUCAGGAGGAACAUCCGUGGCGAAGGCGACUGCCUGGGCCAACACUGACACUGAGGCACGAAAGCGUGGGGAGCAAACAGGAUUAGAUACCCUGGUAGUCCACGCCCUAAACGAUGCGAACUGGAUGUUGGGUGCAAUUUGGCACGCAGUAUCGAAGCUAACGCGUUAAGUUCGCCGCCUGGGGAGUACGGUCGCAAGACUGAAACUUAAAUGAAUUGAC
RNAcentral lists this ribosomal RNA (568 nucleotides) under uncultured bacterium. Its description in RNAcentral is "partial 16S ribosomal RNA". It matches the Rfam family "Bacterial small subunit ribosomal RNA", at positions 355 to 914 of the family's 1533-position model. The record is from RNAcentral.